This 29-nucleotide non-coding RNA is filed under the name Drosophila melanogaster (fruit fly). Lineage: Eukaryota; Metazoa; Arthropoda; Insecta; Diptera; Drosophilidae. The record is from RNAcentral. RNAcentral also lists the same sequence under 19 other names.
GUUGACCUCGGAUCAGGUAGGGAUACCCG